RNAcentral lists this long non-coding RNA (583 nucleotides) under Gossypium barbadense (sea-island cotton). RNAcentral's name for it is "long non-coding RNA (GBAR_LNC003007)". The record is from RNAcentral. Lineage: Eukaryota; Viridiplantae; Streptophyta; Magnoliopsida; Malvales; Malvaceae.
CCGUUUACAAAAUACCCAAGCCCAUUAAACCAUUUAACCCAUCCUCAAACCCAAAACCUAAAAUUAACCUAGCCCAACAUCCAAGCCCAAUCCCAAAACCCUAAACUCCCACUUGCCUCUUCCCACUCUCCCAUGCUGUCUGCCACCAGCACCACUCCCACUCUCCCAUCCUGUCUGCCACCAGCACCAUCACACACCCCACCGUCCAUGCCCAUGCCCUGCAAACAAGCAAAAUAGAAGCAAGAAUAGAAAAUAAUAAUAAAGUAUGUAAAAAUUAGGCCAUAUAAAAGCCACCCAAACAACAAACGAAAAGGGGGGAGGAUGUACAAAAAGUUUGUAUCAAAAACAAAAGAAAAAAGAAAAGCUUAGAAGUUGAACUUCAAUUUUUUUCCUCUGUUAUCUCAAUCUUUCUGUUUAUCUUUGCUUUGCUUUAUUUUUUUAUUAACUUACUUUAAAACGAAAAAGAAUCAAGGAAGAAAAGAGUCUUACCGGAUCUACCCCGUGGCCGCUCCCCUCUCUGUUCGGCACGGUGAAUCGCCGGCGAUGAUGGGUGUUGAAACCUUAAUUGAAGAAAGGAGCAAAG